Molecule: small nuclear RNA, 23 nt
Filed under: Arabidopsis thaliana (thale cress)
Lineage: Eukaryota; Viridiplantae; Streptophyta; Magnoliopsida; Brassicales; Brassicaceae
Description: snRNA_03282
Source: RNAcentral
UAUCCAUAAUUUCUCGUAAUACA